Long non-coding RNA from Orcinus orca (killer whale), 4040 nucleotides. RefSeq lists it as uncharacterized. The transcript has 3 exons. The record is from RefSeq and is a predicted model, not a curated record. Lineage: Eukaryota; Metazoa; Chordata; Mammalia; Artiodactyla; Delphinidae.
GUAUGGUACUGGCACAAAAACAGACACAUAAAUCAAUGGAACAGAAUAGAGAGCCCAGAAAGAAACUCACACACUUAUGUUCAAUUAAUCUAUGAUGAAGGAGGAAAGAAUAUACAAUGGAGAAAAGACAGUCUUUUCAAUAAGUGGUGCAGGGAAAACUAGACAGCCACACAUAAAAGAAUGAAAUUAGAACAUUCUCUAACACCAUAUACAAAACUAAACUCAAAAUGGAUUAAAGACCUAAAUGUAAGAUAGGAAACCAUAAAACUCCUAGAGGAAAACAUAGCCAAAAUAUUCUUUGAAAUAAAUUGUAGCAAUAUUUUUUGGAUCUGUCUCCUAAAGCAAAGGACAUAAAAGCAAAAAUAAACAAAUAGGACCUUAGUAAUAAAACUUAAAUGCUUUUGCACAACAAAGACAACAAUUGACAAAUGAAAAGACAACCUACUGAAUGAGAAAAAUAUUUGCAAAUUAUAUGACUGACAGGAGUUAAUACUCAACAUAUAUAAACAGCUAAUAUAACUUAAAAAAAUAAAUAAAUAAACCAAUUUAAAAAUGGGUAGAAGAACUGAAUAUACAUUUUUCCAAAGAGGAAAUGCCUAUGGCCAAGGGACAUGAAAAGAUGCUGAUCACUAAUCCAGGAAAUGCAAAUCAAAACCAUGGUGGUAUGUCACCUCACACCUUUCAGAAGGGCUGUCAUCAAAAGGAACACAUAGAACAAAUGUUGGUGAGGAUGUGGAUCCCUGCCUUUUUGAAGCUUACUCUAGGGAAAGGAGAGAGAGAGAUCAAUCAAACACUGCAUGAUAAAUGUGUAAAGGGUUUGGUGCUGGGAGGAGACUGCAGGGAUCCUCAGGGGCACCCAGCAGCCCAGCCUGGCUUGGCCUAGGGGUGGAGGGAGCUUGUGGGAGGAAGUGACCCUUGAGCGAGUGUGCAGUGGUUAACUAGAGAGAGAAGGAGGCCUUCCCUACAGAGGAACAGCAGGCACGGGCCCUGGAGGAUGGUCCACAUGCUGCAAGGGCUGCAGGAUAAAUAAGGGAAUCCCUGAUAGGGGUCAGAGCCACUGUGCUGGGGGAGAAGGGAGAAGAGCCAUGGACGUCUAGGGCAGAAGGAAAUAGGCACAGACGGUGGGUUCUGGGAGAAGAAGACAGGACAGAUGCUGAUAGGGGAGUCUGUGCAGGAAGAGGGAGGCAGGGUGCACCUGGAAGGGUCCUGGAGGCUGGAAAGUCUUUGAUCUCUGUGGGGAGCAGGGUGGCUCCUGGGGCAGAGCUGGAAAGGCCAAGGGCAGGCUGGGCUCAGAGGAAAGGGGCAAAAUCUAAAGAGUAUUAAGCAUACUUCAAGCUUAGUAAUUUCCCCCUGUUCAGCCCUGAGAAUAAUCAGGUUCAUGCUCUCUGCCCCAGAGAGGGGUGGGGACCCUGCCACUCUGCAGGAGAGCUCACUGCCUGCCCAGUGAGUUACACCUAGAGUUUGGCCCAAGUUGCCCAGGACAUCAGGAAGCAUCAGAUGCACAGAGAGGGCUGGGCCAGUGGGUCCCCUGGAUGCAGACUCACUACUCAAGCUGUGCGGGUUGGGGCUUGCAGGCUGCUCCCUGUUAAGCAUGUCCUUUCCAGGUUUCACUUACAGCACCUCUCAAAUAGCCUUUGCCUUGCAGCAUGCUACUAAGACUUCGAAGAAUUGCUGAGAAAGCACUAGAAUUUAGCAGGUGCAUCUUGGAACAGCCUUGAUCCUGGGCCUUUCACUCUCAGACUCAGGCUUCCUCCGAAGGCCUCCCCAUGGGAACUGACCCCCUCUUGGAUGACCAGGAACCCACCUUUUAGAGAAGCCACUUGCCUCCAGAUAUGAGACUCCUUCCUGACACCCGGACCCGAAUACCCAAACAUUUCUGAAUUCAUGCGGAGUCCUUCUGAUCUGGGCAUCCAGGUGCCUGCUGGCAAGGACAGUUCUUGUGCCAGUUACCUGAAGACCUUGGGGGCAAAUGCACUCACUCAACUGAGAAAUGAUCUAAAAGUCUUGAUCAGGAGCUGAUUGUAGCCAGUCCAAACAAACAAGCUGACCCCCAAAGGUUCCACAACAACCCUUGGGGACUAAAACAUAUGCUACUAAAAAAAAACCAAGAGGUUAAAGAAGAAACCAAAGAGGAAAUCAGGAAACACCUCGAGACAAAUGAAAAUGGAAACACAAACUUUCCCAAAUCUAUGGGACGCUGCAAAACUAGUUCAAAGAGGGAAGUUUCUAGUGAUACAGGUCUAACUCAAGAAACAGGGAAAAUCUCAAAUAAACAACCUAACCUACCACACCCUGCUUUAUCUUGCCCUUUCUGGAAUGCAUGGGAGAUAUUACUAGCCAGUUUCUCACAGAAGCCACUUGAGGUCAAGGGCAGAGCCCUUGUUUCCCUCAGCUUCCCCUCAGCUGGACAGGCCCUGGGGGCCUUCGCCGGUCAGACCCAGGCCUGAACGCGGCAGUCCCACUGGUCCUCUGCUUCGUGAACUGUGGCCUGGCUGGGUCCCCCCUUUCCACCACCCAUAAGCUCUCAGCCCAAACUGAGCGAGGACCCAAACCUCCAUCCCAGGGAAAUGGGCACCAGGCCACUUACUCAGCUGGGCCACCACAGUCGUCCUGGAAACAAGGUCACGUGAAGCAGGGCUGUGCUGGGGGCAGGACUGGCCCUUCUGACAUCGUUCCAGAUUGCCCGUUGGCCUGCCCCUUCCCCUCCCCCCUCAACAGAGGAAGACGGAGGCAGACGGGCUUUCCCACAACCCCUGCAGGUGUUCCCUGCAGCUUCCAGCCAAUCCCUACAAUACAGUCCUGGGCGACAGCUGCUCUGGCCUUUGCUUGUGGGCUGAGCCGAAGAGGAAAGGCUGUAGUGUCCACAGGUGCGAGUUCAGGCUCAGAGAUCCCACUGUGGGCAGCACCCUACGCUGAGGGCAUGUGUGUGCAGGUGUGUGUGCAGGUGUGCACACAUGUGUGAGCUAUGCAGGCUGUAAUUUCCAAAACCAAAAUGGACUUUUUCCUACUUUGCACAUUCUUUUCAAGGAUACAGAUUUUUUUUGGCCACACCCUGUGGCUUGUGUGAUCUUAGCUCCCCAACGAGGGAUCGAACCCAGGCCCUUGACAGUGAAAGCACAGAGUCCUAACCACUGGACCACCAGGGAGUUCCCGAGAGUACAGAUUCUUAACGAGGACACAAGUCUCCAAAGAUGCUCUGGUCAGCAGGGUGGCCAGUGCAGGCACAAGGGUCAGAACUCCCUGCUUAACCCGCACCUCCACCCCGAGGUCCUCAUCCCUGUGGGAGAAUCGUGGUAACUGCUAAGACCUGUGAGCCCAGGCGCUGUCACAGUCACCCUCCCCCCUGGUUGCCGUUGGCUCCAGAAACACAGCUGCUUUGGACUCGGAGCCCUUCCUUACACUGUUCCCCAUCCCGACGGCCCUCUCCCCGCUAAAGGCUGCAUCCCAUCUUUAGAACCCCAGCCUGCGACUCCAGGUGGGGGAAGGACUCCAGGUGUUUGAUCGCGCUGGUAAACUUUCAGGAGGUCCCAUCUUCUAGGAGGCCCUUUGUAAAUCCUUCCCCGCUAUUUCUGAGGCAGGAGAUAGAUGGGCCCCAGGCCGAACAGCUGGAGUUGGUCCCCUGUGGACAGAGACUCCAAAAUAGCAGGAGGGAGGAGAAGCUGAGCCCCGCCCAGGUACGAGAUAGGAGACCACACGUUUCUCAUUCUCGAAGUCAAGGAGACCUUCCCGACUAUAACGCUUCUUGGAGGUCAAAAGGGGAGCGAUGUCGAGCUACCCAUAGGCCUCUUCACCGCGAUCCAUCUUGGCUGAGAGAUGUACGCACACACAGGGAGGACCCUGAGAUAAACCGAAUACGGACUCAGAACCAGGCAAGUCAAAAUGAUUGGCCGAAGGAAACCCGGAAGAGAUGCCCCAUAUAAGUGAUUUAAACUACCACGAGGGCGCGACUGUCUCUGAGCCCGCCUGUGUGUCUAUCCACACGUACUGUACUCUUCCUCCUAAUAAACACUUUACUUGUUUCACUACUUUCUGUCUCUCUG